Molecule: long non-coding RNA, 2266 nt
Filed under: Strigops habroptila (Kakapo)
Lineage: Eukaryota; Metazoa; Chordata; Aves; Psittaciformes; Psittacidae
Description: lncRNA (ENSSHBG00005020142.1)
Source: RNAcentral
UAUCCUUAAAUUAUAUAUCAUUUAUUGAAAUAUAGAGAUCUUAAUUUACAGGAUUUUUUCACAGACAAAAUAUCAACAGGGGCAUUUUUGAAAUACAUUUUGUGCCUACCAUCACUCAGGCUAUUUCACCCUUCUUCAAACAUUUCACAACAGCCACCAUUUUGGAAACACUUCCUUUUUUAUUAUUCUAAAAUAGAACUUUUGGACAUUCAAAGUGCAACAGUUAACGUGCCUGUGGAAUAUAUCACAGUAAAAAAAAAUAUAAACAAAGGCAGUGAUAUAGCUGUCAUAAAUGUUUUGGCAGUAUUCUAAAAGUCUAUAUAAAAAUACUUAUAUACACAUUGAUGUAUAACAUCACCAUAUCUCAUGUCCUUCAUCACAUAUUAGGACCAUUUUGUACAAGUUGCAGACCACACUUUAAGGUAUUGGUUGGCCAUUCCAAAUCAAAAGCUGUGUUUCAUAGGCUAACACUGAUUGUCGUUAUACAAUUACGGUAGUGAAAGGUUUGGGAAUAUCUCUUCAAGUGGCUUCUCAAAAAUUAAGCCAUAAAAGUAAGUCUGUAAUACUGAUAAUAUUGUAAAACUAAACAAAUCAUCCUUUCACAAUUCUCCCUCUCGAGUAAAUCCCUUCUCUUCCUCUGCUUCUUAUUCCAGUUUCCAGGCCAUUUUAUUUGACUCCAAGCCUGCGGUGAUCUGGGUUUGGCUAGACCCCUGGCACAGAUGCAGUUCAUCUAUACAAUACUCAUGACAGGAUGGAGAAUCAAUAUUACCAGGCAUUGGAAAUUGAGGCAGCUGGUUCACAUCCACCACUUGGGUCUAGCCUCCCUGGAGAUGCGCUGAGAGAUACAGAAUGAAACCAGUGAGAGGAAGGGGAGACUACAUGAAAAUGUCCUUAGAUUCCAGUAACUGGUAUAAUAAAACAUACUGGGGCUGAUUUUCAAACCCUGAAGAACCCUCGGCCAUGUGCAAAAAAUGCAGGUGAAAUUGCUUGCCUAAUUGGAACAUGUAAUUGUAAUGACUGCACGUGCAAAUUAAGGCAUGUGUGGUCUCAAGUGGCCGUUCAGAUGUCUGGGAUACCCAACAGACAAUUUGUGUUUUCUCAAUUCAUAGUUCAUAGCUGGAGGGAGACUUUACAGUGACUCAUCUGGCUGUAUCAAGAGUCUUUAUGUUUCACAGUUGUCCCCAUACAGAGUUCGGUGAUGUGUUUGGCUAAAGUAUGGCUCCAAGGACCAGUUGGUCUUGAUUUGUUGACUGCAAGAAAUAGAGGAUGCACCAUCACUCAUGGUUCCUUCUGAUUGUCAUCCUUCAUCAGGGUUGAAAAUGCGGGUGCCUUGCUUCAGGUCCUGUUUUCACAUCAGUUGUAUGCUUGUACGUGGCCUCAGCCAGGUGACAGUUUGAAAUCCAGACCUAGAAUUAUUUGCCUGUAACACUGACAAUAUUACACUUGCUUUCAUCUGAUCCACAGCUGUCCGCAAGUGAAGUCAAGGGGAGUUGUGUAGCUUUUCUAAAGGUCAGUUCAAGUUAAACUGUAGUUUAACAUGGCAGCAUGUUCUGUCAGUCACUGCUGGUCCAUCUUUUACACUUCCUAGUUAAAAUACUGCAACACAGGGAUGAGUUUGCACUGCAUUUUCAUUGGUUGUGUCAGGCCAGAUGCUGAGCACAUCCUACAAGAUGCUCAUCACACUGAAUUAAGGUUAAGUUUGGAAGUUGAGCACCAGAAAGGAUGGGGCCCUUCACAGUGAUGUACCAUUUUUCACAUGUAAGUCUUCCAAAGUAUCAUAUCUCAAUAACACAUUGUACAGUGAUAGCAGUAACCGUAAUACUUUGCUCAUAUAAGUGGUGUCAAAAAAACCAAGUAUUGCAGGCUGAGAGCACUUUCAUUUUCAUGCUCUUUCUUCAAAAAAAAAAAAAACCCACUCUUGGAAGCAAUUGCAAUUUGUAGUUACAAUCUGCAAAGAUAAGAGAGUUUUCUAUUCCUGUUUAAACCUGAAAACUAAGACAAGAGUAUUUGCUGCAGAAUUAUUUCUGCUUAUUUAAACUUGAGUUUCAGGCUGGGAGAGAUGAUGUUCUUUGAACAGUUCAAAGAUCAAACCAGUUUUUCACAGCUAACCCCAGGAUAAGAUUUUUUUUGAGUACCCAUGAAAUAAAAUGAUAAUAAUGGGAUGUUGCUGUUGGUUUAUAGUAAUCUUGUGUUCUCCAGCAUCUUGGAAACCUGGCAUAACAUACUUUUUUUUAAACAUUUAAAUAUUUAGAACCUCAUUUAAUCA